Molecule: ribosomal RNA, 430 nt
Filed under: Entrophospora sp.
Lineage: Eukaryota; Fungi; Glomeromycota; Glomeromycetes; Entrophosporales; Entrophosporaceae
Description: SSU rRNA
Rfam family: Eukaryotic small subunit ribosomal RNA
Source: RNAcentral
GGGAGGUAGUGACAAUAAAUAACAAUACGGGGCUCUUUCGGGUCUCGUAAUUGGAAUGAGUACAAUUUAAAUCCCUUAACGAGGAACAAUUGGAGGGCAAGUCUGGUGCCAGCAGCCGCGGUAAUUCCAGCUCCAAUAGCGUAUAUUAAAGUUGUUGCAGUUAAAAAGCUCGUAGUUGAAUUUCGGGAUUGACGUGAUGGUCAUGCCUUAAGGGGUAUGAACUGUUGCAGUUGAUUUCUCACCUUCUGGAAAAACUUGAUGUCCUUUAUUGGGUGUCUUGCGGAUCCAGGACCUUUACCUUGAAAAAAUUAGAGUGUUUAAAGCAGGCAUUUUUGCUCGAAUACAUUAGCAUGGAAUAAUAGAAUAGGACGGCAUGGUUCUAUUUUGUUGGUUUCUAGGAUCACCGUAAUGAUUAAUAGGGAUAGUUGGG